GUGGGGAAUAUUGGACAAUGGGCGAAAGCCUGAUCCAGCCAUGCCGCGUGUGUGAAGAAGGUCUUCGGAUUGUAAAGCACUUUAAGUUGGGAGGAAGGGCAGUAAGUUAAUACCUUGCUGUUUUGACGUUACCGACAGAAUAAGCACCGGCUAACUUCGUGCCAGCAGCCGCGGUAAUACGAAGGGUGCAAGCGUUAAUCGGAAUUACUGGGCGUAAAGCGCGCGUAGGUGGUUUUGUAAGUUGAAGGUGAAAUCCCCGGGCUCAACCUGGGAACUGCCUCCAAAACUGCAUGACUAGAGUACGGUAGAGGGUAGUGGAAUUUCCUGUGUAGCAGUGAAAUGCGUAGAUAUAGGAAGGAACACCAGUGGCGAAGGCGACUACCUGGACUGAUACUGACACUGAGGUGCGAAAGCGUGGGGAGCAAACAGGAUUAGAAACCCCGGUAGUCC
Molecule: ribosomal RNA, 450 nt
Filed under: uncultured bacterium
Lineage: Bacteria
Description: partial 16S ribosomal RNA
Rfam family: Bacterial small subunit ribosomal RNA
Source: RNAcentral